GAGGGUAUAGCUCAAGUGGUAGAGCGUGUGCUCAGCAUGCAUGAGGUCCUGGGUUCAAUCCCCAGCACCUCCU
This 73-nucleotide transfer RNA is filed under the name Camelus bactrianus (Bactrian camel). It matches the Rfam family "tRNA". From Rfam's summary of the family: Transfer RNA (tRNA) molecules are approximately 80 nucleotides in length. Their secondary structure includes four short double-helical elements and three loops (D, anti-codon, and T loops). The record is from Rfam by way of RNAcentral. RNAcentral also lists the same sequence under 1 other name. Lineage: Eukaryota; Metazoa; Chordata; Mammalia; Artiodactyla; Camelidae.